RNAcentral lists this long non-coding RNA (1044 nucleotides) under Astyanax mexicanus (Mexican tetra). RNAcentral describes it as "lncRNA (ENSAMXG00005000578.1)". The record is from RNAcentral. Lineage: Eukaryota; Metazoa; Chordata; Actinopteri; Characiformes; Acestrorhamphidae.
GUUUAUUUGAAUUAUAUUUUAUUUUUAAAGUUUAAUUUUGAAGAUGUUGUUAAAUAUUUUAUUAAGUUCAAUAAUUUAUUUAGCUAUUUUUUCACCCUGUCAUUUUCCACCUUGUCUUUAUCCACCUUGUCACUUUUCACCCUGUCAUUGUUCCCAAUGUUUUUGCCUACCCUGCCAUUGUCCAUCCUGUUAUUGUCUACACUGUCAGUAUCCACAAUGUCAUUGUCCACCUUGUUAUUGUCCACAAUGCUAUUUUCCACCCUGUCAUUGUCUUCACUGUCAUUGUCCACCCUGUCAUUCUACAACCUUGUCAUUGUCCACCCUGUCAUUCUACAACCUUGUCAUUGUCCACCCUGUCAAUAUCCACAAUGUCAUUGUUCACCCUAUCAUUGUCUACCCUGUCGUUGUCCACAAUGUCAUUGUCCACCUUGUUAUUUUAUACCCUGUCAUUGUCCACAAUUUCAUUGUCCACCUUGUUAUUGUCCACUAUAUCAUUUUCCACCCUGUCAUUGUCUACACUGUCAUUGUCCAUCCUAUCAUUGUCCACCCUGUCACUGUCCACCCUGUCAUUUUACAACCUUGUCAUUGUCCACCCUGUCACUGUCCACUAUGUCACUGUCCACCCUGUCAUUGUCCACCCUAUCAUUGUUCACCUUGUCACUAUCCACAAUGUCAUUGUCCACCCUGUUAUUGUCCACCCUGUCACUGUCCACAAUGUCAUUGUCCACCCUGUUAAUUUCCUCCCUGUUAUUGUCCACCCUGUCACUGUCCACAAUGUCAUUGUCCACCCUAUCACUUUCCACCCUGUCAUUGUCCAUCUUGUGACUGUCUACCUUGUCAUUGUCCACCCUAUCAUUGUUCAUCUUGUCACUAUCCACAAUGCCAUUGUUCACCCUGUAAGUUUCCACCCUGUCUUUGUCCACUCUGUCACUAUCCACAAUGUCAAUAUCCACAAUGUCAUUUUCCACCCAGUCAUUGUCUACCCUGUCCCUGUCCACAAUGUCAUUGUCCACCCUGUGCAUGGAUGCAUGCAUGACAGAAAAU